This 299-nucleotide long non-coding RNA is filed under the name Phoenix dactylifera (date palm). RNAcentral's name for it is "long non-coding RNA (PDAC_LNC008308)". Lineage: Eukaryota; Viridiplantae; Streptophyta; Magnoliopsida; Arecales; Arecaceae. The record is from RNAcentral.
UUGAAUCCAUUAGGGUCUUAAACUGAUCUCCCUGUGACUUAUGGAAGGCUGCCACAAGUGCUUCAAAUUCUAUGGUUGCUAUUUCAAUUCUUCCUCUAAGUUGGGCAACCAAGGUGCCCACAUUGCCUCCUAGGCUUGUCAACUCUUUAAGACUAUUUGAGAUGGUCUUCAAGCUGUCCUUUAGCUCAAUUGAUCUGAAGGUUUGGGUGGCACCCACACCAACUAUUUCUUGCGUUGUAGCUUCUAUCUGAGCUCUAAUUUCCUUCAGCUCUUGUAGAAGCCCUUCAUGUGAAGCUCUG